GACGAACGCUGGCGGCGUGCUUAACACAUGCGAGUCGAACGGAAAGGCCCUGCUUUUGUUGGGUGCUCGAGUGGCGAACGGGUGAGUAACACGUGAGUAACCUGCCCUUGACUUUGGGAUAACUUCAGGAAACUGGGGCUAAUACCGGAUAGGAGCUCCUGCUGCACGGGGGGGGUUGGAAAGUGUCGGCGGUGGGGGAUGGACUCGCGGCUUAUCAGCUUGUUGGUGGGGUAGUGGCUUACCAAGGCUUUGACGGGUAGCCGGCCUGGGAGGGUGACCGGCCACAUUGGGCCUGAGAUGCGGCCCAGACUCCUACGGGAGGCAGCAGUGGGGACUAUUGCACAAUGGGCGGAAGCCUGAUGCAGCAACGCCGCGUGCGGGAUGACGGCCUUCGGGUUGUAAACCGCUUUCGCCUGUGACGAAGCGUGAGUGACGGUAAUGGGUAAAGAAGCACCGGCUACCUACGU
This 467-nucleotide ribosomal RNA is filed under the name uncultured bacterium. RNAcentral describes it as "partial 16S ribosomal RNA". It matches the Rfam family "Bacterial small subunit ribosomal RNA", at positions 28 to 506 of the family's 1533-position model. The record is from RNAcentral.